This 376-nucleotide long non-coding RNA is filed under the name Homo sapiens (human). Its description in RNAcentral is "non-protein coding lnc-TSPOAP1-1:3". The record is from RNAcentral. Lineage: Eukaryota; Metazoa; Chordata; Mammalia; Primates; Hominidae.
ACUUCGGAGCCUGGAGCACAGGGCGAGCUCUCCUCCGCCCUGCAGCCUCAGUGUACUGUGGGCUUCGGAGAUCACGCCACUGCUGCCGCCCGCUGCCCGCCACCAUCUUCCUCGGCGCUCGGGGACCUCGUGUGACAGGUGAGCACCUUACGGCCCCUCCCUACCCUGCCCAGAUGCCUGAAAGGCCUCCAUGGCUUUCCUGCCCUUCCUGGUUCCGGACAGCUGGGGAAAGGCCACAGCAGCUCCUCUGCUGCCCUGCAGUCUUUGGGGGCGGGGAGGGCUGGACAUGUGGAACCCUGAUGCAGCCGCAGCGUCAAGGACGAGGAAGGGGUGGGAAGGGAUGGUACGUGGAGGGGAAUGGGUGGUGGGACCAGGG